GCGGGUGUAGUUCAAUGGUAGAACACCAGCCUUCCAAGCUGGAUACGUGGGUUCGAUCCCCAUCACCCGCU
Molecule: transfer RNA, 71 nt
Filed under: Roseburia intestinalis
Lineage: Bacteria; Bacillati; Bacillota; Clostridia; Lachnospirales; Lachnospiraceae
Also listed under: 3 other names
Description: tRNA-Gly
Rfam family: tRNA
About the family: Transfer RNA (tRNA) molecules are approximately 80 nucleotides in length.
Source: RNAcentral